RNAcentral lists this unclassified non-coding RNA (227 nucleotides) under air metagenome. RNAcentral describes it as "partial contains small subunit ribosomal RNA, internal transcribed spacer 1, and 5.8S ribosomal RNA". The stretch from base 1 to 46 matches the Rfam family "Eukaryotic small subunit ribosomal RNA", at positions 1786 to 1831 of the family's 1831-position model. The record is from RNAcentral.
AAGUCGUAACAAGGUCUCCGUUGGUGAACCAGCGGAGGGAUCAUUAUAGAGUUAUUACCAACUCCUUAAACCCAUGUGAACUUACCACUUUGUUGCCUCGGCAGCAGACUUAUCCGUUUUACGGUUGGGUCCUGCCGGUGGACCAAUUUAAACUCUUGUUUUAUAUGCCAUUCUGAAUUAUUAAACUUAAUAAGUUAAAACUUUCAACAACGGAUCUCUUGGUUCUG